CUGCCAGACUCCUACGGGAGGCAGCAGUGGGGGAUAUUGCACAAUGGGGGAAACCCUGAUGCAGCGACGCCGCGUGGGUGAAGGAGCACUUCGGUGCGUAAAGCCCUAUCGGCAGGGAAGAAAAGGGGGAAACCCCAGACGGUACCUGACUAAGAAGCCCCGGCUAACUACGUGCCAGCAGCCGCGGUAAUACGGAGGAUGCGAGCGUUAUCCGGAUUUAUUGGGUUUAAAGGGUGCGCAGGCGGCACGGCAAGCCGGCGGUCAAAUCGCGGGGCUCAACCCCGCCCAGCCGUCGGAACUGCCGGGCUAGAGUGGGCGAGAAGUGCGCGGAAUGCGUGGUGUAGCGGUGAAAUGCAUAGAUAUCACGCAGAACUCCGAUUGCGAAGGCAGCAUACCGGCGCCCUACUGACGCUGAGGCACGAAAGCGUGGGUAUCGAACAGGAUUAGAUACCCCAGUA
This 458-nucleotide ribosomal RNA is filed under the name uncultured bacterium. RNAcentral describes it as "bacterial SSU rRNA". It matches the Rfam family "Bacterial small subunit ribosomal RNA", at positions 328 to 792 of the family's 1533-position model. The record is from RNAcentral.